GAUGAACUCUGGCGGCGUGCCUAACACAUGCAAGUCGAGCGAAGCGCUUUACUUGAAUUCUUCGGAAGGAAAGUAUUGUGACUGAGCGGCGGACGGGUGAGUAACGCGUGGGUAACCUGCCUCAUACAGGGGGAUAACAGUUAGAAAUGACUGCUAAUACCGCAUAAGACCACAGCACCGCAUGGUGCGGGGGUAAAAACUCCGGUGGUAUGAGAUGGACCCGCGUCUGAUUAGCUAGUUGGUAAGGUAAGGGCUUACCAAGGCGACGAUCAGUAGCCGACCUGAGAGGGUGACCGGCCACAUUGGGACUGAGACACGGCCCAAACUCCUACGGGAGGCAGCAGUGGGGAAUAUUGCACAAUGGGGGAAACCCUGAUGCAGCGACGCCGCGUGAGUGAUGAAGUAUUUCGGUAUGUAAAGCUCUAUCAGCAGGGAAGAAAAUGACGGUACCUGACUAAGAAGCACCGGCUAAAUACGUGCCAGCAGCCGCGGUAAUACGUAUGGUGCAAGCGUUAUCCGGAUUUACUGGGUGUAAAGGGAGCGUAGACGGAGAGGCAAGUCUGAUGUGAAAACCCGGGGCUCAACCCCGGGACUGCAUUGGAAACUGUUUUUCUAGAGUGUCGGAGAGGCAAGUGGAAUUCCUAGUGUAGCGGUGAAAUGCGUAGAUAUUAGAAGGAACACCAGUGGCGAAGGCGGCUUGCUGGACGAUGACUGACGUUGAGGCUCGAAAGCGUGGGGAUCUAAAAGGAUUAGAUACCCUGGUAGUCCACNCCGUAAACGCCCUCAAAGGGGGUGUCGGGUGGCAAACCCAUUCGGUUCCGCCACCAAACGCAAAUAAGUAUCCCACCUGGGGAGGUCGUUCGCAAGAAGAAACUUCAAAGGAAUUGACGGGGACCCGCACAAGCGGUGGAGCAUGUGGUUUAAUUGGAAGCAACGCGAAGAACCUUACCUGUUCUUGACAUCCCCCUGACCGUCCCUUAAUCGGGGCUUUCCUUCGGGACAGGGGAGACAGGUGGUGCAUGGUUGUCGUCAGCUCGUGUCGUGAGAUGUUGGGUUAAGUCCCGCAACGAGCGCAACCCCUAUCUUUAGUAGCCAGCGGCCAGGCCGGGCACUCUAGAGAGACUGCCAGGGAUAACCUGGAGGAAGGUGGGGAUGACGUCAAAUCAUCAUGCCCCUUAUGAGCAGGGCUACACACGUGCUACAAUGGCGUAAACAAAGGGAGGCAGAGCCGCGAGGCCGAGCAAAUCUCAAAAAUAACGUCUCAGUUCGGAUUGUAGUCUGCAACUCGACUACAUGAAGCUGGAAUCGCUAGUAAUCGCGAAUCAGAAUGUCGCGGUGAAUACGUUCCCGGGUCUUGCACUAAGCGCCCGUCA
RNAcentral lists this ribosomal RNA (1373 nucleotides) under uncultured bacterium. RNAcentral's name for it is "bacterial SSU rRNA". It matches the Rfam family "Bacterial small subunit ribosomal RNA", at positions 28 to 1399 of the family's 1533-position model. The record is from RNAcentral.